Molecule: ribosomal RNA, 465 nt
Filed under: uncultured Klebsiella sp.
Lineage: Bacteria; Pseudomonadati; Pseudomonadota; Gammaproteobacteria; Enterobacterales; Enterobacteriaceae
Description: bacterial SSU rRNA
Rfam family: Bacterial small subunit ribosomal RNA
Source: RNAcentral
CCUACGGGGGGCUGCAGUGGGGAAUAUUGCACAAUGGGCGCAAGCCUGAUGCAGCCAUGCCGCGUGUGUGAAGAAGGCCUUCGGGUUGUAAAGCACUUUCAGCGGGGAGGAAGGCGUUAAGGUUAAUAACCUUGUCGAUUGACGUUACCCGCAGAAGAAGCACCGGCUAACUCCGUGCCAGCAGCCGCGGUAAUACGGAGGGUGCAAGCGUUAAUCGGAAUUACUGGGCGUAAAGCGCACGCAGGCGGUCUGUCAAGUCGGAUGUGAAAUCCCCGGGCUCAACCUGGGAACUGCAUUCGAAACUGGCAGGCUAGAGUCUUGUAGAGGGGGGUAGAAUUCCAGGUGUAGCGGUGAAAUGCGUAGAGAUCUGGAGGAAUACCGGUGGCGAAGGCGGCCCCCUGGACAAAGACUGACGCUCAGGUACGAAAGCGUGGGGAGCAAACAGGAUUAGAUACCCUAGUAGUC